GUGAAUCAUCAAAUCUUUGAACGCAUAUUGCACUCUCUGGUAUUCCGGAGAGUAUGCCUAUUUGAGGGUCAUUUGAAAUAAUAUAAAUUUCGAGAGUUUCUUGGAAUCAAAAAUGGACGGUCCCGCAUUCGUGUGGUGGUCGCCUAAAAUGCAAGACAAGCUCCUUUCUUGGGUUGCGUGAUACUUUCAGUUAACUCCUUACUUCCCCAGGAAUCUUUUAGCGUGUUAGGAAUUGUGCACGAGAUAAACUUUCAUUUAUCUCGAGCCCAAUAUUAAAUUGAAUCAUUACCUCAAAUUAGGU
This 301-nucleotide unclassified non-coding RNA is filed under the name Archaeospora sp. RNAcentral's name for it is "partial contains 5.8S ribosomal RNA and internal transcribed spacer 2". The stretch from base 1 to 71 matches the Rfam family "5.8S ribosomal RNA", at positions 84 to 154 of the family's 154-position model. The record is from RNAcentral. Lineage: Eukaryota; Fungi; Glomeromycota; Glomeromycetes; Archaeosporales; Archaeosporaceae.